RNAcentral lists this ribosomal RNA (288 nucleotides) under Triticum aestivum (bread wheat). RNAcentral's name for it is "partial small subunit ribosomal RNA". The record is from RNAcentral. Lineage: Eukaryota; Viridiplantae; Streptophyta; Magnoliopsida; Poales; Poaceae.
AUGCUGAGGACUCCGGCGAGCGGCAGGAGGUCUGGGGAUGGGGGAUCCAUGGCGGAGGCGGCGGGAUCCGGCGGUCCUAGGCCGGAUUUGACGCGAAACGGCGGUGGAAGCUCUUGUUGCUGCAGUACAGGGAGAGAGAGACACAUGAGAGAGAAGAAAAUCGAGAGAGGGAGGAGAAGGAGACAGAGAGAGACGAGGGCGCGAGGCAGUUCCUGGCGGACGGCUCACCGACGGCGCCAAACGGCGAUGGCGAGGAAAAGGCUUCGGGAGGAGCUCCUCUCCUCCUGA